AGCAGCCGCGGUAAUUCCAGCUCCAAUAGCGUAUAUUAAAGUUGUUGCAGUUAAAAAGCUCGUAGUUGAAUUUCGGGAUCAAGGAAUCGGUCAUGCCUUGGUAUGUACUGGUUUUAUUGGUUCUCACCUUCUAAAGAACCAUAAUGUCAUUCAUUUGAUGUUAUGGGGAAUUAGGACUGUUACCUUGAAAAAAUUAGAGUGUUUAAAGCAGGCUUACGCUUGAAUACAUUAGCAUGGAAUAAUGAAAUAGGACAUCAGAUUCUAUUUUGUUGGUUUCUAGGAUCGAUGUAAUGAUUAAUAGGGAUAGUUGGGGGCAUUAGUAUUCAAUUGUCAGAGGUGAAAUUCUUGGAUUUAUUGAAGACUAACUACUGCGAAAGCAUUUGCCAAGGAUGUUUUCGUUAAUCAAGAACGAAAGUUAGGGGAUCGAAGACGAUCAGAUACCGUCGUAGUCUUAACCAUAAACUAUGCCGACUAGGGAUCGGACGAAGUUAAUUUUUAAAUAGACUUAGUUCGGGAAACC
RNAcentral lists this ribosomal RNA (520 nucleotides) under uncultured Glomus. Its description in RNAcentral is "SSU rRNA". It matches the Rfam family "Eukaryotic small subunit ribosomal RNA", at positions 569 to 1099 of the family's 1831-position model. Lineage: Eukaryota; Fungi; Glomeromycota; Glomeromycetes; Glomerales; Glomeraceae. The record is from RNAcentral.